RNAcentral lists this non-coding RNA (30 nucleotides) under Mus musculus (house mouse). Lineage: Eukaryota; Metazoa; Chordata; Mammalia; Rodentia; Muridae. The record is from RNAcentral.
UGAAAUGUGCCGAGAGUCUGCGUAUUCUUG